CUUAGCUUUCUUUCUGCUGUGUAGAGAUACAAGGAGAAGACAGAAAUCUGCAACCCAAAAGAUGGCCCUCACCAGAAUCUGACCACGCUGGCACCUUGAACUUUGACUUUCACCCAUCAGAACUCUUCAGAGCAGAGAUGAUUGUCAUUGUCACCAGAGUGAUAACACCACAGAUACAACGUUCUAUCUUUUAUUGACAAAUGCCUGAGCCUUCACAGUAUCAAGGGAACUUCCCACAGAGAAAUUGUAAACUAAGCAUUUUUGACCUCCAACUAAUUUCGGGACACGUCAGAGGACUCGUGGAAUAUCAGAAGAUUUAAAGAAACUUUCUUUUGAAUCUUAAGCUACCGAUAACUUACAACAAUUGGACUGGACUGGAUCCUGAAUUCUUCCACAUGCCUCGAUUUAAUUUUCUCCCACUCUUCUGACUUGGAAUUGUUAAGAACAAGAACUGCUCUAUUCUUGGAACCCUGCAACCUGGAGAUGGACAACUUGAUGUAACUUCACAGGCAUCCCUCAUGCCUGAUACAUGAACCACAGGCAGUUCACAAAAAUACCCAAU
Pongo pygmaeus (Bornean orangutan) is the source of this 562-nucleotide long non-coding RNA. RefSeq lists it as uncharacterized. The record is from RefSeq and is a predicted model, not a curated record. The transcript has 5 exons. Lineage: Eukaryota; Metazoa; Chordata; Mammalia; Primates; Hominidae.